This 904-nucleotide ribosomal RNA is filed under the name uncultured archaeon. Its description in RNAcentral is "bacterial SSU rRNA". It matches the Rfam family "Archaeal small subunit ribosomal RNA", at positions 86 to 949 of the family's 1478-position model. The record is from RNAcentral.
UGGCUCAGUAACACGUGGAGAAUCUAACCUUUGGUGGAGGAUAAUCUCGGGAAACUGAGAAUAAUACUCCAUAAACAUAGGAUGCUGGAAUGCUUCUAUGUUGAAAGGCAACGCCAAAGGAUGACUCUGCGACCUAUCAGGCUGUAGUGAGUGUAAUGGACUCACUAACCUGCAACGGGUACGGGUGUUGGAAGACAUUGCCCAGAGAUGGACUCUGAGACAUGAGUCCAGGUUCUACGGAACGCAGCAGGCGCGAAAACUCCGCAAUGUACGAAAGUACGACGGGGGAAUUCUGAGUGCUUACGCCUUGCGUAGGCUGUUUUCUUGUCUAAAAAACAAGGAGAGUAAGGGCUGGGUAAGACGGGUGCCAUCUCGUGCAAUUCUGCACUUAUUGUGUUCGUUGCACGAAGCACAAGCCGCCGCGGUAAUACCCGCGGCCCGAGUGGUGCUCAUUAUUAUUGAGCCUAAAACGUCCGUAGCCGGUUUAAUAAAUUCUUGGGUAAAUCAUAUCGCUUAACGAUAUGAAUUCUGAGAACACUGCUAAACUCGGGAAUGGGAGAGGCCAGAGGUACUUUCAGGGUAGGGGUAAAAUCCCGUAAUCCUGAGAGGACCACCGGUGGCGAAGGCGUCUGGCUAGAACAUAUUCGACGGUAAGGGACGAAGCCCUGGGGCGCAAACGGGAUUAGAUACCCCGGUAGUCCAGGGUGUAAACGCUGUAGAUUUGGUGUUGGAAAUCCUACGGGGAUUCCCAGUGCCGGAGAGAAGUUGUUAAAUCUACUGCUUGGGGGAGUACGGUCGCAAGACUGAAACUUAAAGGAAUUGGCGGGGGAGCGCCGCAACGGGUGGAGCGUGCGGUUUAAUUGGAUUCAACGCCGAGAAACUCACCGGGGGCGACCAUUAUAUG